RNAcentral lists this ribosomal RNA (291 nucleotides) under uncultured bacterium. RNAcentral's name for it is "partial 16S ribosomal RNA". It matches the Rfam family "Bacterial small subunit ribosomal RNA", at positions 773 to 1060 of the family's 1533-position model. The record is from RNAcentral.
GUGGAUUAGAUACCCUAGUAGUCCUAGCCGUAAACGAUGGGCACUAGGUGUGGGAGGUAUCGACCCCUUCCGUGCCGCAGUUAACGCAUUAAGUGCCCCGCCUGGGGAGUACGGCCGCAAGGUUGAAACUCAAAGGAAUUGACGGGGGCCCGCACAAGCGGUGGAGCAUGUGGUUCAAUUCGACGCAACGCGAAGAACCUUACCAGGGCUUGACAUCCCACGAACCUUCCCGAAAGGGUUGGGUGCCCGCAAGGGAGCGUGGAGACAGGUGGUGCAUGGUCGUCGCCAGCU